UUUACAUUUUAUUAUAUGACGUAUAAAGAUUUUUGAUAUCUUAGGAAAUAGUUUAAUUCUAUUAAAUGUAAUG
Molecule: transfer RNA, 73 nt
Filed under: Clerus dealbatus
Lineage: Eukaryota; Metazoa; Arthropoda; Insecta; Coleoptera; Cleridae
Description: tRNA-Gln
Source: RNAcentral